GGAGCUUAGCUCAGUCGGUAGAGCGGCGGUUUUGAAAUCCGCGCGUCGGGGGUUCGAUUGCCUCAGUCCA
RNAcentral lists this transfer RNA (70 nucleotides) under Pseudomonas cedrina subsp. cedrina. Its description in RNAcentral is "tRNA-Ser". It matches the Rfam family "tRNA". From Rfam's summary of the family: Transfer RNA (tRNA) molecules are approximately 80 nucleotides in length. Their secondary structure includes four short double-helical elements and three loops (D, anti-codon, and T loops). Lineage: Bacteria; Pseudomonadati; Pseudomonadota; Gammaproteobacteria; Pseudomonadales; Pseudomonadaceae. The record is from RNAcentral. RNAcentral also lists the same sequence under 1 other name.